Molecule: ribosomal RNA, 253 nt
Filed under: uncultured bacterium
Lineage: Bacteria
Description: partial 16S ribosomal RNA
Rfam family: Bacterial small subunit ribosomal RNA
Source: RNAcentral
UACGUAGGCAGCAAGCGUUGUUCGGAAUUACUGGGCGUAAAGAGUGUGUAGGCGGUGCUCUAAGUCUGUUGUGAAAUCUCCCGGCUUAACUGGGAGGGUGCGGCGGAGACUGGAGUGCUAGAGUGUGGGAGAGGUAAGCGGAAUUCCUGGUGUAGCGGUGAAAUGCGUAGAUAUCAGGAGGAAUACCGGUGGCGAAGGCGGCAUCCUGGACCAUUACUGACGCUGAGGCGCGAAAGCUAGGGGAGCAAACGGG